RNAcentral lists this ribosomal RNA (433 nucleotides) under uncultured bacterium. RNAcentral describes it as "partial 16S ribosomal RNA". It matches the Rfam family "Bacterial small subunit ribosomal RNA", at positions 29 to 507 of the family's 1533-position model. The record is from RNAcentral.
AACGAACGCUGGCGGCAGGCCUAACACAUGCAAGUCGAACGCACCUUUCGGGGUGAGUGGCAGACGGGUGAGUAACGCGUGGGAAUCUACCCUUCUCUACGGGAUAGCUCCGGGAAACAGGAAUUAAUACCGUCUACGACCUGAGGGAGAAAGAUUGAUCGGGGAAGGAUGAGCCGGCGUGGGAUUAGCUAGUUGGUGGGGUAAAGGCCUACCAAGGCGACGAUACAUAGCUGGGCUAAGAGGAUGGUCAGCCACAUUGGGACGGAGACACGGCCCGGACUCCUGCAGGAUGGGGGAAAGGAGGAUAUUGGACAGUCGACGCAGGGCAGAAGCUGCCAGGCCGCGAAAGUGAUGAAAGCUCUAGGGUAGGAAAGUAAGUUAAGAGGUUACGAUUAUGACGUUACCCACAGAAGAAGCCCCGGCUAACUUCGUG